This 253-nucleotide ribosomal RNA is filed under the name uncultured bacterium. Its description in RNAcentral is "partial 16S ribosomal RNA". It matches the Rfam family "Bacterial small subunit ribosomal RNA", at positions 524 to 776 of the family's 1533-position model. The record is from RNAcentral.
AACGUAGGUGGCGAGCGUUAUCCGGAUUCAUUGGGCGUAAAGAGCUUGUAGGUGGUGCGAUAAGUUGGACGUGAAAACUCCGGGCUUAACUUGGAGAGGCCGUUCAAUACUGUUGUGCUAGAGGGCGUCAGAGGGAAGUGGAAUUCCUGGUGUAGCAGUGAAAUGCGUAGAUAUCAGGAGGAACACCCGUGGCGAAGGCGGCUUCCUGGGACGUACCUGACACUGAGAAGCGAAAGCUAGGGGAGCAAACGGG